GGCACGACGAGCCGAUGGCAGAUUCAUGGAAUUCAUGCCAGGCACGACAAGCCGAUGGCCGAUUAAUGGAUUUCAGCCCAGGCACGACGAGCCGAUGACCAAUUAAUGGAUUCCCGCCAUUGCACGAGCGGCUGAUGGAAUUUCUGUGCAAUCCUUUGUGUCCAGGCAGCGAUGCCGCCUCCAGCGGAGAAGCCCCUAUCUCAGGCAGGAUGCCUGUUGAGGCAGUGCGGACCCGUUCCCGGAGGAAUUGAUGGGGGAUCGGGCCCCGUUUCAGGGCCAGAAUGCAAGCUUCCCCGCUGGCACAUGCAGCAUUCAAUUUCCUGUACUUGUUCGAGCGGAGAAGAGCUGAGAAGUCUCAUUUAUACCAUCCCAUCUCUCCUCUGAAAUACACGAGGGGACUCAGAUAUAGGAAAGGUGACACCCCCCCGGGCGGGGGGAGGUCUCCCGUCCCCUUUCCUCCUUGCAAGUGCCUUCCAAGGCGGCUCCAGUGGGGAGAGGAGGUUGUAUGUGGCAAGCCUUUUUCUCACCAGUAAUCCUUGACAUUGAUCCCUUUUUUAGUAUUAUGCACUAUUACGUAACACACUUCCAGUACGAUGAAUAUUUUCUGUACUGGAGAGAGAAUAAGCUGAGCGAUUCUUGUGGCUUGCACUUUUGUGGAGGUCCGAGUCGUUUUUGGGAGGAACCCCGGGAAGGGCCAAAAUGGAUAGAGGGGAGCAAACACUCACACGCGGGUCAUUAUCUUGAAAAAGAGUUGGAAUGGCCAGUUUUGAACAGAUGCUGUUGUUCUGAUCAGAGUCCACAUUGGAAAGCUGACUUAGCAUUCCCUCUUUAUGACACUGUUAGCUUUCGUAUAGAUCGUAUCUUCCUUUGGCCAGCGGGCCUGGGGGGCCCAUGCUGUCAAAAUUUUCUGUUUGCCAUCUCAAGGACCGUCGCUGAGAGAUAUUUCUGGUGCGACGUUUCUGGCUACGGAAGAGAACGCGGGAUGGACGGUCCACCUCAGAGGGCCCCGGGAAGAGUCUCACAUGAAGGCCACGUCUCGUUUGCAUCUGGGGUUGACUGCUCCAGGGCCCCGAGGACACCGACCGGGCACUUGAUCUCCCAGAACGUUCAUCAGAGAAACGACGAGCAUCAGACCGUGAUCGACGACGUGUUCUCUGCUGGAGAUGGAGAGCGGCAGACAGGCUGAUUCACGCAAAGGAGAUGCUGGCAGUCCCGUCAUUCGUGAGGCCGAUGCCAGGAAGGAGCUGCGUGGGACCGUCGGCGGGGCGCUAGCCGUGCCGAGAAGGAGAAACCCGCCGUCUAAACGGGGGACCCACGGGUCGCAUCGCACCUGAAUGGAGUCCGAGACAGGACCCACCGCCCUCCUGGAUGAACGCGGGGACUUCCUCUGCAGCCUGCUGAGUGAUUCGUUGAAAGCGAGCAAGUGAACGUCACGGUGUGAAGCCUGCUCUGGAGCCGAUUUUUCCUCGGCGGUUAUUUUUGCAGCUUCUCAUGUCAUUUUGCCCGAGGCAGAAAUCUUCAGCCCUCGCCGAAAUAAACCUUGUCCCACUGAAA
Molecule: long non-coding RNA, 1554 nt
Organism: Varanus komodoensis (Komodo dragon)
Lineage: Eukaryota; Metazoa; Chordata; Lepidosauria; Squamata; Varanidae
Exons: 4
Source: RefSeq, a predicted model, not a curated record